RNAcentral lists this ribosomal RNA (477 nucleotides) under uncultured bacterium. RNAcentral describes it as "bacterial SSU rRNA". It matches the Rfam family "Bacterial small subunit ribosomal RNA", at positions 365 to 832 of the family's 1533-position model. The record is from RNAcentral.
UUCGCAAUGCCCGAAAGGGUGACGAAGCGACGCCGCGUGUGGGAAGAAGGCCUUCGGGUUGUAAACCACUGUCGGGAGUUAGGAAAUGUAAGGGUGUUAAUAGUAUCCUUACUUGACUAAGGCUCCGGAGGAAGCCACGGCUAACUCUGUGCCAGCAGCCGCGGUAAUACAGAGGCGGCAAGCGUUGUUCGGAAUUAUUGGGCGUAAAGAGCACGUAGGCGGCCUUGUAAGUCAGUUGUGAAAGCCUUCUGCUUAACGGAAGAACAGCAGCUGAUACUGCAAGGCUAGAGUGCGGAAGGGGAGAGUGGAACUUCUGGUGGAGCGGUGAAAUGCGUAGAUAUCAGAAGGAACGCCGGCGGCGAAAGCGACUCUCUGGCCCGAAACUGACGCUGAGUGUGCGAAAGCUAGGGGAUCAAACGGGAUUAGAUACCCCGGUAGUCCUAGCCGUAAACGAUGGGCACUAAGUAGAGGGGUUUU